Molecule: long non-coding RNA, 265 nt
Filed under: Gossypium barbadense (sea-island cotton)
Lineage: Eukaryota; Viridiplantae; Streptophyta; Magnoliopsida; Malvales; Malvaceae
Description: long non-coding RNA (GBAR_LNC006520)
Source: RNAcentral
GCGAAUUUUGGUGACCCAAUUUUGUAUGUUUGUGAAUGUUUAAGUCCAGUAACAGCUCGAACCCUGUCCUGGAGUUGGAUAUGGGGGAGGGGUGUUACAAUCUCGUCCAUUAAUUAGGUUAAUAUAGAACCGAGGUGACUUAUUACACACAUUGCAACUAAAUCCAUCCUUUAGCACGUAUAUUAACACAACCAAAUGACUAUAUCAAGUAUGGAUGCAUAACAUGGAAAUUACAUGCAAUGUGAUCUAAACAUGUCUAUUUCCA